Molecule: transfer RNA, 75 nt
Filed under: Chondria sp. (in: red algae)
Lineage: Eukaryota; Rhodophyta; Florideophyceae; Ceramiales; Rhodomelaceae
Description: Chondria sp. (in: Rhodophyta) tRNA-Ile
Rfam family: tRNA
About the family: Transfer RNA (tRNA) molecules are approximately 80 nucleotides in length.
Source: RNAcentral
GGGCUAUUAGCUCAGUUGGUUAGAGCGCACCCCUGAUAAGGGUGAGGUCCCAGGUUCAAAUCCUAGAUAGCCCAC